RNAcentral lists this long non-coding RNA (1312 nucleotides) under Parus major (Great Tit). RNAcentral describes it as "lncRNA (ENSPMJG00000001402.1)". The record is from RNAcentral. Lineage: Eukaryota; Metazoa; Chordata; Aves; Passeriformes; Paridae.
AUGUAUUCGGCUGAAGAGGCGGUGGUGGAAGGGAGACAGAAAUCUGCAUUGUCAAAUCCCAUUGUGAUGUGUUCAGUGAAGAACAUUCAAAGCCAAGGGAAGCAAGGCCCAAGACGAGAAAGCCUUUGCAUCAUGGUAGGAAGGGACAGAGCCUCCUGCCUCCUUAGAGCAAUGCCACUGCCUGCCUCCCCUCAAGAGACAACACAAUUACAGCUGACACAAUAAUUGAUGAUGAAGUUUGCUGGUGAGAAAGAUGGACACACAUUAUAAUCCCAUCAAUCUUGUUCCACACGGUGUCUUGUGCUGCUGUUUUUUCAUACUGUGGCAGCAAAUUGACUGAAGGAUGCUGAGCAGUCUGUUCCCAGGGGUACCCCAUGACGGAGUGAGGGCACCGCUCAGGGCACGAGGAGAAAGGUGAGACUGGAGUAAAGAUCACCCAGUGUGAAUUGAAGCCAAAUUUAUUUCCACCAUGUUCUUUACCUGCUUGUGUCUCCACUACACAGAAUCAAUUCCCAGGGGAACAGGACAUCAUCCAACAUUGGCUUCUCCAUGGGCAUUGCAGGAGCAAUGUUUGACCAUUAACACCCACUGCCCCUCGUUCAUCCCCAGUUCUGCCUGAGUUCAGUCACAGGUGCCUGCCAGGUCUGUAAGUACAUAGAAACUCCAGUGGAAAUGUGUUAUGUAUAUAUUAGAAAACUUUCCAGUCAUCUACACUCAGUUUAGGUUUCCAAAGAGGAGGCUCAGGGUCCUUACCACUGUCUCCAGCUCCCUGGCAGGGUGGUGGUCAGGUGAAGGUCAGGUGAAGGUCAGGUGAAGGUCAGGCUCUUCUCCCAGGCUGCAACUGACAGGACAAGAGAACUGUCUCAAGCAGUGCCAGGGGAGGUUCAGGUUGAACAUCAGGGAGAAUUUCUUCUCUGCAGGGAGAAUUUCUUCUCUGCAAGGGUGGCUGGGCCUUGGAGCACACUGCCCAGGAACUGGUGGGGUCACCUGCUCUGGAGGUGUUCAAGAAAUGACUGGAGGUAGAUCUUUGUGCUGUGGUUUAUUUGGAAUUGUGGUGUUUGGUCAAAGGCUGGACUCGAUGUCUUGGAGGUAUUUUCCAACCUUAAUGAUUCUAUGAUUCUUAAAAUCUUCUCUCUUCACAGAUACGUGAAAGACACCUGGUUCCUACCUGUCCACUGCUUUUCUGAGCACCUGAGCAGAAAACUAUUUCCUUCAGUUGAUGACAACAAUACAAUUAGUCAACAAAUAUAAUUGCAUCUUUUGUUAAAAAAAAAAAUAUAAUAAAUUAAGCCACUAAAAUUUAGUGUUUGGC